This 70-nucleotide transfer RNA is filed under the name Cricetulus griseus (Chinese hamster). It matches the Rfam family "tRNA". Rfam says of the family: Transfer RNA (tRNA) molecules are approximately 80 nucleotides in length. Their secondary structure includes four short double-helical elements and three loops (D, anti-codon, and T loops). Lineage: Eukaryota; Metazoa; Chordata; Mammalia; Rodentia; Cricetidae. The record is from Rfam by way of RNAcentral.
GGCUAUAGCUCAGUGGUAGAGUUUUUGCCUAGCAUCCAUGAGGUCCUAGGUUCAAUUCCUACUACUGCCA